GUGCUUGUGGAAAUUGUUGGGCAAUGCCAACUGAGGCAGAGUAUAUGCUGCCAGGAGAUUACACAGAACGCACUGAACAUAUACAGAGCUGACCAUGGGGCCUUACGGCUACGGGGAAUAGAGCAUCGUUACAGAUAGCUUGCCUACAGGAGCUUUGUCAUUUGGUGUUGGGGAUUCCUUGGAUGCAGAAU
Alosa sapidissima (American shad) is the source of this 191-nucleotide long non-coding RNA. RefSeq lists it as uncharacterized. The transcript is spliced from 3 exons. The record is from RefSeq and is a predicted model, not a curated record. Lineage: Eukaryota; Metazoa; Chordata; Actinopteri; Clupeiformes; Clupeidae.